AAGAGAGGCUGGAUUCAGAAUGA
RNAcentral lists this microRNA (23 nucleotides) under Oreochromis niloticus (Nile tilapia). Its description in RNAcentral is "oni-miR-10755". Lineage: Eukaryota; Metazoa; Chordata; Actinopteri; Cichliformes; Cichlidae. The record is from miRBase by way of RNAcentral.